AGAGUUUGAUCAUGGCUCAGGACGAACGCUGGCGGCGUGCCUAACACAUGCAAGUCGAGCGAGAAAGCCUGCUUCGGCAGGUGAGUAAAGCGGCGCACGGGUGAGUAACGCGUAGGAAUCUACCCAUAGGACUGGGAUAACACCUCGAAAGGGGUGCUAAUACUGGAUAAGCGCACUUUAAGUGUGAAAAGGCCGUAAGGUCACCUAUGGAUGAGCCUGCGUCCCAUUAGCUAGUUGGUAGUGUAAAGGACUACCAAGGCGAUGAUGGGUAGCUGGUCUGAGAGGAUGGUCAGCCACACUGGAACUGGAACACGGUCCAGACUCCUACGUGAGGCAGCAGUGGGGAAUAUUGCGCAAUGGGCGAAAGCCUGACGCAGCGACGCCGCGUGAGUGAAGAAGGCCUUCGGGUUGUAAAGCUCUGUCAGGAGGGAAGAAGGAGCGUAAGCUUUGACGGUACCUCCAGAGGAAGCUCCGGCUAACUCCGUGCCAGCAGCCGCGGUAAGACGGGGGGAGCGAGCGUUGUUCGGAAUUACUGGGCGUAAAGGGUGCGUAGGUGUCUUGCUAAGUCAGUAGUCAAAAGUCAUGGCUCAACCAUGGUACGGCUAUUGAAACUGGCGAGAUAGAGUGUGGUAUAGGAGAGCGGAAUUCCCGGU
RNAcentral lists this ribosomal RNA (653 nucleotides) under bacterium enrichment culture clone BIG B-Brut-2. Its description in RNAcentral is "bacterial SSU rRNA". It matches the Rfam family "Bacterial small subunit ribosomal RNA", at positions 8 to 674 of the family's 1533-position model. The record is from RNAcentral.